RNAcentral lists this long non-coding RNA (231 nucleotides) under Elaeis guineensis (African oil palm). RNAcentral's name for it is "long non-coding RNA (EGUI_LNC074262)". Lineage: Eukaryota; Viridiplantae; Streptophyta; Magnoliopsida; Arecales; Arecaceae. The record is from RNAcentral.
AAGUUUCUUCUGGUUGCCAUCGAUACUUUAUAAAGUGAGUUGAAGUCGAGCCACAGACUCGCAUAAUCGAGGUUAAAGUAAAAGAUUUCAUCUGAAAGUCUAUCAUUUGCCAUUAUAGUCUUCCCAGAGUGCUCAUCACAGAUAAUGACAGAUAGUUUAGUGGUAUCCAGCUUCAUAAAUUCUAUAAAGAAUAUGAAAUAGAGCACCGCUUUACCUCAGUAGACCACCCGC